UACAAUGUGAGCAUUUCCCAAUCAUUCUACCAACCUAUGUCAUUGAGCUUGCACAAAUGAUCUCCAGAAAUGAAAAAUCAUGAUCAAAUAGAAAAUGCAAUGUAAAAUUCCACAAAAAUUCAUACAAUAUCUCAACAUGCUUAACUAACCAUCAUGCAAAAUUUCAGCCAAUUCUAACAUGUAUAGGUCACUCAAAAAAAUCCUGCAAGUUGACAUAAUGAGGUGUGACACAAAUUGUCACACCUAAGUUCCAGAAUUUGCUGCUCUCUAACCAGGUAUCCAAAAUUCAUGAAAUUUACAUAUAAAUAAUCC
This 312-nucleotide long non-coding RNA is filed under the name Lathyrus oleraceus (garden pea). RNAcentral's name for it is "Pisum sativum (pea) long non-coding RNA (PSAT_LNC036745)". The record is from RNAcentral. Lineage: Eukaryota; Viridiplantae; Streptophyta; Magnoliopsida; Fabales; Fabaceae.